CUGCACAUCCCUGCAAUGCACUCCUGCUCCUGUGCCCCAGCACAGACACCACCUGGAAUGUGCCCAUCCAAAAGCAGACUUAAGCAGCUUCUCAGCCAAGACCUACGAGUGCCAUUUGCUGCUACCAACACAGACAGCUGGAAAAGCCCCCUGGAUAAUGGGGAGCUUUCAGUCCCCAGAAAGACUGAGGCAGCAAUUCAGAAUUAAUGUACAACUAAGGCAGAAAAAGGCCUGCAAUUUAUCAGAUGCUUCAGUAAUUCUUGAACACUUUUUCUGUGAUUCUGCUUUCCUCAAGAAUGUGUAAAUGAGACUUUAAAAACACAGUUAACUUUUAUUUUGUAAUGAAGAUAAAAAUUCUGCUGCUAAGAUGGGAGACUCUAGUAAGGAAAUGAAAAUGCAGCUGGAAGGUGUGGUGGUAUUUGCUGUCUGCCAGGUCACCUGUAUUUAUUAGCAUGGCAGCUGCCACUAAUGGGACAAAGGGAGAAAACUGAGUAAAAAGCAUUUGUUGAUUUCACCACUCAUUUAAUAUUUUGAUAAGAACUCAGCUAAAUCACUGUCCAGUAACUCUGCUUAUAAAACAGGAUUUAUAGAGAGCUUUAUGGGAAUAACACUAGAUUAGAAAAGCUCUUUGCAGGCUUUUAAACAAGAUACAAGGCAGUGCACUGCAUGUACAACACCUUAUUUCACAACAAGAGAGAGGCUGCAGAACUAGACAUUUUCUCCAAGACAGUAUGAAAACAUAAAUGGAAACAUGAACUUGCAGAAUUAGGACCCGGAACACGCUAAGCUGACAUACGUAAUUUCAAGUAUUCACACAGCUGUCACAGAUGGUGAAAAUGGGGGUUGUUCUCCAACACCAGCAAAGGCUCUAAUUGAGAGAAUCCCUGAAACAAAAUCCAUCAAGUGACAAAUGCCAACAGCGGAUUUGCCCUUGAGGAUUUCUAAUAGGACCUGCCACAUAACCUUAAAAUGCCCAUGCUUUUCUGUCAUGCCCCUGGAACAGCAGCAAAGCCCAAGCUCUGGAGCAGUGUGAACAGAGACCCUCACCUGAAGCAGCUGCUGCUCUUCUGGCCCCACCUGAACCAGGUUUUAGUGACAAAGGCCAUUUUAUUCCACAAGGAGUCAAAAACAACCGUGAUAAGGUUUACAGAGCCAAGGACUUGGCUCUCUGGCAGGUGAGUUUUGCCAGCCAAGCAGUGCAUUCCUGCCUGUGGACAGGUGGAGAAGCUUGUCCCAUUCCCACUGCCCUGGAUGGAGCUAAACAGCUCUAUCAAUGGCUCCAGCAAUGGAUCACUCCCAUCAAGGAACUGUAUUUUGUUGUACCAGCAAUGCCAACAGCUCCAGAAAAUCACCUGGGAACACACAGCAACCUGGACUGGGCAUGGAGCAGCUCUCAUCAAAGGGAAGUGCUCACUUAAAACCCUCAGAGGAGUUGACCAAAUGCCCACAGCCCAGUAGGGAACUCCUUGAAUAAAGACCCAGGAUAAGAAGCACAUUUCUUCAUUAUCUUCAAGGACUUGGAAUAAACUGCUCCUGUUUCCUAGGGGAUUAGGAUUCCUGCAGGCUGCUCCUCCCCAGAAAAACCCUAUCCCCCCAUUAGUAUGAAAUAUUUGGAUUCUCUAGUGGGACAUAAAAUGUGGAACAUUUCUGCAGAUAAACAAGUGAAAGUACUUCAUAGGUUAGGGAAAAAAGAGAAACUCAUUUCUGCAGGUGAUACAGACAGACUCUCAGAGUGAGAAAGACAAUUUCUUUUUACAGUUUUUCUCUGCAGUUUCAGAAGUAGAAAAGAAGGAAUUUUCCACUGGGGUAUGAGUAUUUUAUCAUUAUCUCAGGCUUAUUUCCUCAUUUGGAAAAGUUACCUUUCUAUUACAGGCUCUUCAAAAAAUUAAAAUUAAAUUAAUUAAUUAAAAUUAAUGUAAUGUAAUUAAUUAAUUAAAAUGAGCAAAUCUAUAUUAUGAAAUCAAUUAUAGUCUUAAUGAUGUUUUCCAAUGGCAGACCAAAGAACAGCAUCAUUUUACUCAGCUUGUCUGUUAUACUAACUUAUUUGAACACAUAAAAUACACUGUACACUGCAAGAAAUAAACAAGAUUGGAUGGAUGGAUGGAUGGUUGGAUGGAUGGUUGGAUGGAUGGAUGGAUGGAUGGAUGGAUGGAUGGAUGGAUGGAUGGAUGGAUGGGAGUGACAUUUUCCUUGCUUCCUAAAAAAACUGCCCAUCUCUUAGUAAGUAUAAUCCCUGUUUUUCCACAGACUUCUGGUGUGAUUGUUGCUUUUAGUCCUUUUUGGAAGAAAUCCACAAUAACUGCUACACACAUAAACUGAUUUGCAGCUGACAUUUAGAUACUCAGCACCAGAAUGACCAUGCCCAGUCAGCUCAGUUCACACGAAUCCACUAACACACUGUGACUUGGGAGGACUGACCCACACACCCAGGGGGAUUAAGUGCAUGCUCCACCUUUUCAGAACAAAGUGCCAUCCCCCAAUGUACACCUCUAACUGAUUUUUCUCUGACAUGACACAAAUGAUAUUAAUGGACUCAAUUGCAGCCCUACUGUAUUAGACUGCCCUACGUAAUUACUCAGAAUAACCUUUAUUUUACAUCCCCAGGUAA
Passer domesticus (house sparrow) is the source of this 2608-nucleotide long non-coding RNA. RefSeq lists it as uncharacterized. NCBI's taxonomy places the organism in Eukaryota, Metazoa, Chordata, Aves, Passeriformes, Passeridae. The record is from RefSeq and is a predicted model, not a curated record. The transcript has 2 exons.